This 253-nucleotide ribosomal RNA is filed under the name uncultured bacterium. RNAcentral describes it as "partial 16S ribosomal RNA". It matches the Rfam family "Bacterial small subunit ribosomal RNA", at positions 524 to 776 of the family's 1533-position model. The record is from RNAcentral.
UACAGAGGGUGCGAGCGUUGUUCGGAAUUACUGGGCGUAAAGCGCACGUAGGCGGGUUGUUAAGUCAGGGGUGAAAUCCUGGAGCUCAACUCCAGAACUGCCUUUGAUACUGGCAACCUAGAGACUGGAAGAGGUUAGUGGAAUUCCCAGUGUAGAGGUGAAAUUCGUAGAUAUUGGGAAGAACACCAGUGGCGAAGGCGGCUAACUGGUCCAGCACUGACGCUGAGGUGCGAAAGCGUGGGGAGCAAACAGG